RNAcentral lists this ribosomal RNA (483 nucleotides) under uncultured bacterium. Its description in RNAcentral is "partial 16S ribosomal RNA". It matches the Rfam family "Bacterial small subunit ribosomal RNA", at positions 28 to 507 of the family's 1533-position model. The record is from RNAcentral.
GAUGAACGCUGGCGGCGUGCCUAACACAUGCAAGUCGAACGAAGCUUGACGGAUGAUUUCUUCGGAAUGAAACCAGAUAUGACUUAGUGGCGGACGGGUGAGUAACACGUGAGCAACCUGCCUUUCAGAGGGGGAUAACGGCUGGAAACGGUCGCUAAUACCGCAUGAUGUGUUCGGAUGGCAUCAUCUGAACAUCAAAGAUUUAUCGCUGAAAGAUGGGCUCGCGUCUGAUUAGAUAGUUGGUGGGGUAACGGCCUACCAAGUCUACGAUCAGUAGCCGGACUGAGAGGUUGAACGGCCACAUUGGGACUGGGAUACGGCCCAGACUCCUACGGGAGGCAGCAGUGGGGAAUAUUGCACAAUGGGGGAAACCCUGAUGCAGCAACGCCGCGUGAAGGAUGACGAUUUUCGGAUUGUAAACUUCUUUUCUUAGUGACGAAGACAGUGACGGUAGCUAAGGAAUAAGCAUCGGCUAACUACGUG